RNAcentral lists this ribosomal RNA (1156 nucleotides) under Mycoplasma haemofelis. RNAcentral describes it as "bacterial SSU rRNA". It matches the Rfam family "Bacterial small subunit ribosomal RNA", at positions 103 to 1304 of the family's 1533-position model. Lineage: Bacteria; Bacillati; Mycoplasmatota; Mollicutes; Mycoplasmatales; Mycoplasmataceae. The record is from RNAcentral.
CGGGUGAGUAAUACAUAUCUAACAUGCCCCUCUGUGGGGGAUAGCCGCUUGAAAAAGCGAUUAAUACCCCAUAGGAAGCUUUAUCCAUGAUUUAGCUUUUAAAGCCUUCGGGCGCUGAGGGAUUGGGAUAUGCUCUAUUAGCUAGUUGGCGGGAUAAAAGCCCACCAAGGCAAUGAUAGAUAGCUGGUCUUAGAGGAUGAACAGCCACAAUGGGAUUGAGAUACGGCCCAUAUUCCUACGGGAAGCAGCAGUAGGGAAUCUUCCACAAUGGACGAAAGUCUGAUGGAGCAAUACCAUGUGAACGAUGAAGGCCUUUUUGGUUGUAAAGUUCUUUUACGAGGGAUAAUUAUGAUAGUACUUCGUGAAUAAGUGACAGCAAACUAUGUGCCAGCAGCUGCGGUAAUACAUAGGUCGCAAGCAUUAUUCGGAUUUAUUGGGCGUAAAGCAAGCGCAGGCGGAUGUGUAAGUUCUGUGUUAAAUGCAGCUACUCAAUAGUUGUAUGCACCGAAUACUACAUGUCUAGAUUGUGGUAGGGAGUUUCGGAAUUAAGCAUGGAGCGGUGGAAUGUGUAGAUAUGCUUAAGAACACCAGAGGCGAAGGCGGAAACUUAGGCCAUAAAUGACGCUUAGGCUUGAAAGUGUGGGGAGCAAAUGGGAUUAGAUACCCCAGUAGUCCACACCGUAAACGAUGGGUAUUAGAUAUUAGGGCUUUAGCUUUAGUGUUGUAGCUUACGCGUUAAAUACCCCGCCUGGGUAGUACAUAUGCAAAUAUGAAACUCAAAGGAAUUGACGGGGACCUGAACAAGUGGUGGAGCAUGUUGCUUAAUUCGAUAAUACACGAAAAACCUUACCAAGGUUUGACAUCCCUCGCAAAGCUAUAGAAAUAUAGUAGAGGUUAUCGAGGUGACAGGUGGUGCAUGGCUGUCGUCAGCUCGUGUCUUGAGAUGUUUGGUUAAGUCCCGCAACGAGCGCAACCCCACUCUUUAGUUACUUGUCUAAAGAGACUGCACAGUAAUGUAGAGGAAGGAUGGGAUCACGUCAAGUCAUCAUGCCCCUUAUGCCUUGGGCUGCAAACGUGCUACAAUGGCGAACACAAUGUGUUGCAAACCAGCGAUGGUAAGCUAAUCACCAAAUUUCGUCUCAGUUCGAAUAGGAGG